Tigriopus californicus is the source of this 1618-nucleotide long non-coding RNA. RefSeq lists it as uncharacterized. The transcript has 3 exons. NCBI's taxonomy places the organism in Eukaryota, Metazoa, Arthropoda, Copepoda, Harpacticoida, Harpacticidae. The record is from RefSeq and is a predicted model, not a curated record.
AGAAAUUUGUGGCCCCGCGUGAAUCAAAACUGGCUUACAUCCCUUUCAACUCGGUCAUCAACAUGAUUGGGUUUUGUGUUAUGCAUGCCUUCGACAAGAGAAAAAAGAUGUAUGUAAGCAUUGCACAAAGGCACGGGUUUCCGUGUAACAUUCUACGUUGCUCAAGUCGAGUAUGCGCUAAACAUGGGCUACCAAGUUUUGGAUGUUUUUGAGGCAUUGCAUUACCAACGUCAAGAGUAUUUAGAGGGGCCCUUUUUCCUGCUUUUUGCAAAGAAAAAAAUUGCAUUUACUUUGGCAAAUAAGCUUGCAUCGAAGGCUUGGAGGGGUACCGUAUUGGUAGAGCAUCCGCUUUCCAAUAUGCGAAUCCUGGUUCGCUCCCAGGCUUGCCAAGUCCAAGAUUCCCUGUGGUAUUUGAUUACAGCAUGAGUUGCUGCUUUAACAGCUUAAACGGGCGAACCUGCGGUCAUUCCCGAGGGUGAGGGACGUCAAUCCAAUCACGGAACAUAUCUGCGAAAUGACAACGGAGUGUAUCUCCGAUUGGUCCUUCCUUGGAGGCAACCUGAUGGCUGGAAUGGCCAUUAUUUUGGAAGCUCAAAUGUUCAUGCUACAAGAGAUGACGGCACUCUUGCAAAGGAAUGUCAAUGUGUUGGGAAUUGCCACCGAUUGCUUGUUUCUCAGCUACCCUAAGACACUUGAUACUCUUGUGGAAGUGAGCUUGACAUUGGGCAAGUUCGAAGAUGCAUAUCCGAGCCAUGAAAAGGACAAUUGCAUCAAAGAAUUAAUGGCAUCCAAUUCGAGGGAUUAUUACAUCCAAUUCAUGGACAGGGAAAUGGUAGUUAAGUUCAGAGGAUUCAAUCUAACGGCUCCCGCUUCCCGUGAAUCCUUCAUGACCCAGUUUGCCUCAAUCAAGACGGCAAUUUUGGAACACAGAAGGUCUUGUCUUAAGAUCGAUCAAUUCCGAUUGAGAAAAGGCAUUGGAGUAUCACCGGUUAUAAAGAAAAUUGCGUUCAGCUUCAGUCCAUACGUUUCCCGCCGUAUUGUGUUCGAAAACAGCGACAGCGAUUUGAAGUCGUUACCAUCAGGAAUAAAGAGUCUCAAAUAACGGGCAAGAUCUAUUUCAUCAAAAGUUUCACCAUAAUCAUUAUAUACAGGUCCUUUAUUUUCGUCCAUUUCAUCCUCUUGCUCUCGUUCAGCUUUGAGACGGGCAAUGGGUAUUGCCACAAGCCUCGCUUCUUCGUCUUCCUCUUCUUCAAGUAUUUAUGGGUGGGGGUGGAGAGGGAGACGGAGUGGCCAAAUCCCUUCCAAGUGAAAAGUAUGGAUCGGCCAGAUCGGAUAUGGAUGAAACCGCUCCUUCUCCAGAUGGGCUUUUCCCGGGAUGUCACUACAGUUCUUCCGCGCCUGAUAAAACGCCAAAUCCCACCGGACACAAGCAUCACCAAAGCAGCAAUCAGACAAAACAAGUUGCCCGCUCCUAACCACAAGUCGAAUUUGCCUCCUGGAUCUGCGGAAUGACAAGCAACUAUUCAACAAGGAACGUUACUGAAAUGGCUGAAAACUAGUUUAUUGAUCGGCAAGUUAAUCUGUAUUUAGAUUUUGAGCACGAGUCUGAAUAAAAGAC